UUGUGGGCGAAAAGCGAAAAGGAGAGCGAGCGAGUCAGCUGAUCCGAACUACCGAUUUACCGACGCGACUUAUAAAUAAUUCCAUAAUUAAUUAGUGAUAUUGAGAAUUGCGACAAAUCUGUGCCAAUAUUGAAACACAAAGCGAAAGUGAGGUUAUGUGUGCCCCCUAGUGCCAAAUUAGAUUAAGCCAAAACCAAAACAAAGAAAAGCAGAUGGAAAGCAACGCAUUUGGCAGCAGCCAUUUGCCAUCUCAAGCGCUUGUUGUUCUCUCGGAAGCGGCUUCCGGUUUGCAUGAGGCUCUACGUGGACAACGACCGUUUCCAGCGAGAUUACCUGACGCCAAAGAUCUUCACAACAUGUCACUAGUCGGCAACUACUUCAACCAGCACCUGCUGAUCAACCACGGGAUGCUGGUGGCGAACGGAGCAGCAGCGGCGGCGGCAGCUGCGGGAGCGGGUCCGGCCAGCUACUUUGCCAGCGACCGGUCGCCGCUGGGGAAGCCGUCGGUCCUGUCGAACUUCUCGCUGCCGUCGGCCUUCUCGCCACCCAAAUACAUCGGCAUAUCCUUGGACCAGAAUCUGUUCAACGGCAGCGAAUCAUUUCGCACGGAUUCGGCCAGUCCCACAUGCACAUCCCAUGAAUCCAUGGAGGGAUCACAGGAUUACGAUGCCGUUGAAAAGGGUGAAAGUCCGCGCAGCAAUAAUUCUCAGGAUCCCAGGGAUUUGAGACAUCUGCACAGCGCGGGGAAGAGCCACCAGGCACUGGCCACCUCCUCGUCGGCAUCCAGCUCCUCGUCCUCCUCCUGCUCGACCAGCAAUCCGGCCAUCAGCACGGCGGCCAGUAGCGUGGCCGUUUCGAUGGCCAGCCACCUGGCCGCCGCCUCCCCGCACUCCCACGCUCACUCGCACCACCCUCACAAUCCCCACUCGCAUCCGCAUCCGCUGGCCCAUCCCCAUGCCCAUCCGCACCACGGCCACCAUGUGGGAGCACCGCCCCCCGUCUCCACGGCGGUGACGACCCACCAUCACAUGGCCCACCCGCAUCCGUUGUCGCACCACCAUGCCGCCCAUCACGCAGCCUUGGCCAGCCUGAGUAUGGCGGGUCUGAGGGCAGUGCCGGGAGGACUCAGCCUGGUAAGUGGACUGCAGGCCGCCGCCGCCGGAGGAGCCAUCCCGGAUCUGUGUCCGGUCUGCGGGCUGAAGCUGAGCGCCGAGGAGUGGCACACGCACUUCCUCACCGAGCUGGACAGGCUCUACAAGCUGAGUGCGGGCUUCGAGAGGGCCAAUCUGCAGGCCACCUACAUGUUCGCCCCACCGUGUCCGGCCCAGGAGAAUGCCAUCCGCACCAGCCACAAUCGCUGGGAGACCUUCCAGAGGAUACGAAAUAAUCGCCAGAACCGCCUGAGACUCAAAGUUCGGAAGCGCAAGUACGGAGAGAUGUACAUGAUGGAGAGUCUGUACUGCAGUAGUUGUCCCAUUUGUAAGAGGAAGUACGCUCUGGAAACGGGGAAGAUACCACCAGAGGACGAUGCCAAAUCCCAGGAGGAGAUCGAAACAGUUGAUGUGGAGAGCUGCAACGAUGAUGUGCCCGAUUCGGGUUCGGAGCUAACCGGAGCAGGGUCGGUGGGCUCUGGCUCGAUCCUUCCGCCCUCCAGCAUGCACAACAGCAACGCCCAGCCAGGAAAGCUGGACGGGAUUCUGUACCGAACGGCCUGUGUGAUGAACCAGAAGGAUGCCCACGCCGACGAGCAGGAUGUGAGCACCAACGUAACAACCGCCAGCAGUAGCAGUUGGCCGGGCGAGGCUAAUGCCCCACCUCAGGCACAUAUCAGUGUGAAAACCGUCAGCGAGCUGUCAUCUACCACACAUCACUAUUACAACGCCGAUUCCUGCGGCGUGGGCGUCAACGACAACAACAGUAGCAGUAGCACGAAUAACAGCAACAACAACACCGCGAGUGGUGGCGGUGGCAGCAACAACAAGGAGCUAAUGAUGGACACUGCCUCGUGCCAGAAUGACAGCGAUGAGGACGUGAUUGUGGACGACGACGACACCGUCAAGGUGUCGAGCAAAAUCAAUUACAGCAAGGUUCAGCGUCGGCAGGAGGAGCAGAAUGUGGGCAGUAGCAGGAAGGGCAAUGUGGCCCCCAGCGAUGGCUAUAUCUCAACCAAUUUCCUUGUGAUUCUUGAGCGGAAUGCCUUGAACGAUUUGUGGAUCGAUUCUCCAUAAUUCUGCAUCAAAAUUUCAGAACAAAAUAUUUUUUAGAUUUUUUCUCAAAUUUCCUAGUGGAUCCCCUUCAAAAGUUAAGAAAAACGCUAGGAAGGGCAAUAUGGCCCCCAGCGGUGGCUUGGAGCGGAAUACCUUGAACGAUUCGUGAAUCGAUUCUCCAUCAUUCUGCAUUAAAAUCUCAGAACAAAAUAUUUUUUAGAUUUUUCCUCAAAUUUCCUGGAGGAUCCCAAGAAAUUUUUUAAAUUUAAAAUAAAUUUUUGAACUAAAUUUCAGAUCUUUGGAAAACAUUUCGCCUGUGGAGGAGCGACCCAGAUCGGAGCCGCAGGUGAGCAGUACGGAACCUGGACCCAUGGAUAUAGCCCACAACAAUAAUAACAACAACAACAAUAGUAGCAAUAACAACAACAAUCCGUCAUCGAAAUAUGCCGAGAGCAUGGAGAACAACCUGUCGCAGUUGUCGUCAAUGGGCGUGCCAGGAUUAACGCAAUUGGACACAAAGGCAUAAAGGAUCUCAGUACGGAUGCCUUCCUGCGCGGUCGUAACUUUUACUUUCAUCAGAGCUGUGCCAACGUCAUGAGCAGCUAUCGGCUCAACAAGGAGCUACUGAGCCAGGCCCAGAGCCAGCAGAGGGCGGUGGCCGGGGGCGGGAGUGCCGAGGCGGUAACUGCCACGGCCACGCCCCGCAGCUUGUCGCCCGCCCAGUCGCCACAACAAAGUGUGCCCCAAGCCAUGGAGUGAACAUGAAUGAUUGCAAUCAAAGCGUGAAUUUAUUAAAAUUAAUUAAUAAAAUAUUGUAUUUGAGGUAGCUAAUGAAUCGCGAUGAUAAUGAUGAUGUUUAAUUGAGCGAAUCAGCCCCAAAGUAGGCAACACUCUUUCGGUUCAGCUCCCGCCCCACCAAAGUUCCCCUCCCCACUUUCCGACCCUGUAAAAAUCGGACAAACAACAAAAUAUGUAUUUUAUCUUUGUUCUCAUUUAAAAUGGAAUCGGUUUUAAUUAUACAAUAAUUUAGUGCAAUUUUUUGGUUGCCUUCUCCAAAAUGUCAUAUACAUUUGUGUGUACUUACUACUUAAUAAUAUCAGUAUGUUUGUAAUUGUAAUUUCCCCAGAACGUGCUAUAAUUGUUAAAUGUUUAAUUGAUCAUAAAACAAACAAUAUACGAUUAAUGACAAAGGAAUUAUCAAAUCUAAGCCAGAAAUUAGUUGUAAAUUUUUAAGCCCGUAAAUUAUUUAUGAAAAAUCCAAUAAAUAUAUGAAAAUAAC
RNAcentral lists this unclassified non-coding RNA (3486 nucleotides) under Drosophila ananassae. RNAcentral describes it as "optic morphology(2D)". Lineage: Eukaryota; Metazoa; Arthropoda; Insecta; Diptera; Drosophilidae. The record is from RNAcentral.